CUUAUUUACACAUUUUUGAGCACUUUGAAGGAAGUUGCCAUGAUCGCUGUGUUUCAUGGAGUACCUAAGUCCAGUCUCUGAGUCAAUUUGACUAUGGGAAUAAUAUGGGCUGUGAAAAUAUUGAAAGGAUAGGAAAUAGUAAAACAUAAAUUCUGGAAACAUUCAUUUUUGGGUGUGUUUGGAUUAAGUGACAUGUUUUCUUACGGUUCUCAGAUGAUGUUUCAAUGCUUUGGCAGAACCAUAAAUAACGCUGGGUCCACUGAGUAUUUUAAGUAUAUACUGUAUGUAUUUUAAUAUCAUGAUACAAAAGGAGAUAACUAUGUGUAAAUACAUUGUACUGACAUUUUUCCAUGUGAAUGGUGAAUGGUACAGGGGCAAAUUUCCCAAUGGAAAGGUCCACCAUUAGAGAGAUGUUAAUGGAACAUUACUGUCUGAGAGAGGGGAUCAUGUCCUCAAAUGGUUCAAUUAUAGACAUUUGUCAGAUUAGCCAAUAAACAUACUAAUGAGUCCAAAGAAAAAUAAGCAAAGGCAGAGCCUUAUUGCGCUGCAUACACAGAAAUUCAGUAAUUUCCAUUAAGUAUGUGAUUAACUGUGUUUAAUAGGGAGAUUCCCCUAUCCUAUCUAUUGGCUUCGCUGUUAAUCUCAGACCAUCAUUAACACGCAAAAUUCAAUUAAAACACUUGAUUGGUUAAUCAAGCCACAUACAUAAUUCAGACCUGACGUCCUCUCUCAUCUCUCUUUUCUUUCUCUCUGUUGUUUCCUAACAACCUCUGUCAUAAGGCAGCACAGACGUCCAAAUGUAUACAACAGUGUUGUAUAGAGGGUUACAGUGCUGUGAAAUGUGCUAUGUACAGAGUUACAAUGUUACAUAAAGUGUUAUGUAGUGUUCUAAACUGGUUGCUACGAAUCCUAAGUGCCGUUUUGGCUGAUACCCAUGAUAUAUGAGAAUGGGUAUGUCAUAAUAUCAAUUUACUGGUAGUAGUUGCUUUGGUAACACGUUUAUAAUCUCAAUAGGGCAUCUCAAGGCUUUAUGGUAUAUUUGGGACUGCGACCUGCCUAGGAUUUAUUCUUAGCUGUGGUGUAUUGGCCAUAUACCACAACCCCUUGUGAUGUAUUUCUUUUUUGUAUAGUUAUACAGUGGUAUAUACAGUGUUGCUGUGUUAUAUACAAUGUCCAUCUUCUCCAGAGCAUGCCAUUCAGUAAACAUAUACAAUUAUACGCACCCAUACACAAACACACAGAUAUUAUUUUUCUUUUUUGACUGAGCAGUCACUGUUUCAAAUUCUUCCAAACUUUACACGUCUGUAGCCGUGGUUCCCUGAAUUAGGGGACGUGGAGGGGACAUGUGUAUUUGAGGAGGGGACGUGUUGGGUUAUGUAUUAGAGGAAGGGACAUGGUGGGUUAUGUAUUAGAGGAAGGGACAUGGAGGGUUAUGUAUUAGAGGAAGGGACAUGGUGGGUUAUGUAUUAGAGGAAGGGACAUGGUGGGUUACGUAUUAGAGGAAGGGACAUGGUGGGUUAUGUAUUAGAGGAAGGGACAUGGUGGGUUAUGUAUUAGAGGAAGGGACAUGCUGGGUUAUGUAUUGGAUGAAGGGACAUGGAGGGUUAUGUAUUGGAGGAUGGGACAUGCUGGGUUAUGUAUUAGAGGAAGGGACAUGGUGGGUUAUGUAUUGGAGGAAGGGACAUGCUGGGUUAUGUAUUGGAUGAAGGGACAUGGAGGGUUAUGUAUUGGAGAAAGGGACAUGGUGGGUUAUGUAUUGGAGGAAGGGACAUGGUGGGUUAUGAAUUGGAGGAAGGGACAUGCUGGGUUAUGUAUUGGAGGAAGGGACAUGCUGGGUUAUGUAUUAGAGGAAGGGACAUGGUGGGUUAUGUAUUGGAGGAAGGGACAUGGUGAGUUAUGUAUUGGAGGAAGGGACAUGGUGGGUUAUGUAUUGGAGGAAGGGACAUGCUGGGUUAUGUAUUGGAGGAAGGGACAUGCUGGGUUAUGUAUUGGAGGAAGGGACAUGGUGAGUUAUGUAUUGGAGGAAGGGACAUGGUGGGUUAUGUAUUGAAGGAAGGGACAUGCUGGGUUAUGUAUUGGAGGAAGGGACAUGCUGGGUUAUGUAUUGGAGGAAGGGACAUGGUGGGUUAUGUAUUGGUGGAAGGGACAUGGUGUGAUGAGUACCGGAGAAGGGGACGUGGUGUGAUGUGUACUGGAGAGGGUGAUGUGGUGUGAUGUGUACUGGAGAAGGGGACGUGGUGUGAUGUGUACUGGAGAGGGUGAUGUGGUGUGAUAUGUACUGGAGAAGGGGACGUGGUGUGAUAUGUAUUGUAGGACGUGAAAGAAAUCAUGGCACAUCCACAUUUAUUCAGGACCGCUCUUCAUUGCAUCUGGACAGUGCAGGGCCUUAACGACUGGAAAGCUCCUGGUAAUGUAUUUGCUUUGUGAGCUGUACCCCAGACCAACCCUGAGGGAAGCAGCUCUCGAGAUCAAUGUAAUGGUUCCGUUUCCUCAAGAGAUGACAAGACCACGCGUGUUGUUAAAAUGGGUAGACAAAAGUUUUGCCAAAAUGCACCUGGAGGCAUCUGUCAAGACUCCAUGAAGUCAAAUGUGGAUCUUGUUGGAAGAUGGCAUUUCACAGUAUUGACUCCAUGUCAAAGGUCAAGAUUGGUAAUGGUAGAGUGGAUCCUUUACUGCAUCCACUGUAAGGACCUGAAAGACUUCUAGCACUGAAGGGAACAAUCAUUUCUGCAGUAGAACAUUUGACAAUCCGCCUUGAGCAUCUGAACCACACCUUGGUCAUGCAGCAAGACAACAUUCCCAAAUACACAAGCAGGUUUUGGAAAAGCAUAGUCAAUGAGGCCCUAAACAGAAAUGAGAUUUGGCGGGACUUGUAAACAGAGCAGUUUAUGCUAAAAGCCCACGAAUGUCACUGCGUUAAAGCAGUCCUCUACGGAACAGUGGGACAAAAUUAUACACAAACGAGUUGAGAGACUGACUAAAAACUACUGGAAGUACUUAACUGCAGUCAAUACGCAAAAGUCAUUUGUGUUACAUAACUUUAUUUAAUAAAUUAAUUAAACAAGUAGACAUAUGUCGUUGUUUAUUCAGGUCCGCUUAAUUUAAUAUAUAUUUUUGGUUAAAGAUAUGAAAACAUUCAGUAAAAAAUACAUUUAAAAAAGACAGUUAGGAAGGAGGCAGUUUUUCGCUGCACUGUAUUUCCCAGGUUUUCUCUCUCGUCUCUCCUCCCAAUCAGACCACACGCUUAUCUAUCGAUGCUAGCUGAGGACACAUGGUUGAGGUCUGAGACUGACGUUGUUUCACUGCGACUUGGUAUUUUUAAUAUGGAUAAUCCCCUGUUGUAUAAAGGAAUUACCGCCAUACAUUACAGUAAAUCUCUGCAGAGGAGCUUAAACUUCUGCACACCUGUAAAUCAGUUAUGCAGGGAGAGACUCUAAUUAAUACAUCAAGUGGACUUAACACUGUUUACAAUGGCAUUAGCUGCCCAGUGGAUCUGAUUUAGCCCGGCUUCCAUCAUCCCUUCACCCACUCCAGAUUAAUAGCCCUGAGCCCUUUGUCCAGCAUUGUCCGGCAGUCAUCCUGAUUGGACUUGUUCUUAUGGAUGUGCUGAACCUCAGGUGACCUCACUCAGCCAGAAACAGACUGACACAGACUGGCACAAUGAGGAUGCCUACUGUACCUCAUCUGAAGCCCGGAGAGAGAGAGAGAGAGAGAGAGAGAUGGGGAGAAAAGAAGUGAGAGAGAGAGAGAAGGAGAAAAACCGAGAGCGAGACAGAGAAAGACAGAGAGGGAGACAGAAAGGGAGACAGAGAGGGAAACUGAGGGAUCUUUGUAGACUUAUGGAGAUUGUGGUGGGGAAUGGAGAAGAAGCAGUGGACAUAAUAGAAGACAAGGCAACAGAGGGUAGAAUGGAUAAGUAGACGCAGCAAGCACACUUUCUUAUUAUUCCUCUGACACAAAUCCAUACAUUCUGGCAAUAGGUCUCGCAGUCAUCCCAUGAAUAACUUUACUUUGAACCAAUCAACAUGUUCAACAGACAUGGUAUUCUAAGAAGCAUUUCUAUAUUUCCAGUAGAGUAGUUCUUAAAACAACCAUCUCUCUGACUAAUGCAUUCCUUAGGGGAUUAAAAAAAGCUCAUUUAUCCUAAAAUGGACUUAUCACCCUAAAGCUAAUUGGGAUUUACACAAUCACAUGGGAUGACAUGAACAAUACCAAGUAUUCCACCUCACCACAGCAAUACUAUAGUAAAUAGUCACAAUGGCUGUUCCCUGUUGUAAACAGCCCGCAACAAAACCAAAACAACCUUACCUCAGGUGCACACCGAAAAAGUUUCCCAUGUUAUCUACAGGGACCCCAUGCUGGAAGGUUAAACCAAUUUCAAUCAUAAAACUGAACCCACCCCCCAGAAUUCUGAACAUAUUACUACUGCCAGCCCAUGAAUAUGUAAGACCCUGGGGAGCGGGCUGGUCCCAGAGAUGUACUGGCUUUAAUCAACGCAGUGGCAAUGAUGAACGCAAUCACAGCUCAUUUGCAUAUCUAAAGCAAAGGGGAAAUUGCCCGUAAAAAAGGCAAAUUAAAAAAACAGACAAACAUGUGACUAGCCGCAGAGACUAGGGGGCGCAGUUCACAGGGCUGGAUGGGAAACAUUCACACAUCUGCCAAAUGGCAAAGCCCUAUGUAAAUCUGUCCUGUCCGCGUGACUGCGAGAGCUGUGUCUGUCUGCGUCCAAGUGGCUUGUGGCUGUGAACGCUGUAUCUGUAAGCUGAGUAGGUGUGCAUUAAAAUGUGCGUAGGUAUCUGUUUUCGAAGGUGCGUAGCUGCUCGUCUGAAGUUGCGUAGGGGUGGGGCAACGCAACUACAGGGUUGUGGGUUUCAUUCCCACGGGGGCACGGGGGGGUCAGUAUGAAAAAGUAUGAGUGUGUCCACUCUUUACUCCAAGCCGCUCUAGGCCAGCAUCGUGACUGUGUGCUGGGAUCCAUGGGAGUCUGGGUCUGUAGGCGACUGUGUGCUGGGAACCAUGGGAGUCUGUGUCUGUAGGCGACUGUGUGCUGGGAACCAUGGGAGUCUGUGUCUGUAGGCGACUGUGUGCUGGGAACCAUGGGAGUCUGUGUCUGUAGGCGACUGUGUGCUGGGAACCAUGGGAGUCCGUGUCUGUAGGCGACUGUGUGCUGGGAACCAUGGGAGUCUGUGUCUGUAGGCGACUGUGUGCUGGGAUCCAUGGGAGUCCGUGUCUGUAGGCGACUGUGUGCUGGGAACCAUGGGAGUCUGUGUCUGUAGGCGACUGUGUGCUGGGAACCAUGGGAGUCCGUGUCUGUAGGCGACUGUGUGCUGGGAACCAUGGGAGUCUGUGUCUGUAGGCGACUGUGUGCUGGGAACCAUGGGAGUCUGUUUCUGUAGGCGACUGUGUGCUGGGAACCAUGGGAGUCUGUGUCUGUAGGCGACUAUGUGCUGGGAACCAUGGGAGUCUGUGUCUGUAGGCGACUGUGUGCUGGGAUCCAUGGGAGUCUGUGUCUGUAGGCGACUGUGUGCUGGGAACCAUGGGAGUCUGUGUCUGUAGGCGACUGUGUGCUGGGAACCAUGGGAGUCUGUGUCUGUAGGCGACUGUGUGCUGGGAUCCAUGGGAGUCUGCUGUGAAAUAUAACUUUCAAGUAUUUACAAUAACAUUUGCGUCACUUAACAGGCGCUCUUAUCCCGAGUGACUUACAGGAGCAAUAACGGUUAAUUGCCUUUGCUCAACGCCUUAUUGACAGAUUUUCACCUAGUCUGAAUGGAGAUUACCAAGCUAUUUGCCGCCUCUUUCACAAUCAUAACCGAUUGUUAUGUUGUCAGGCAGGAACACAAGGAGAUGCAAGGUUUUUCCUGAACGGUAUGUAGACAGAGGAUCGUAACUGCCAGUGAGGCCAAGAUCUCAUGGGUAUACGGUCAAAAUAGCGCUCUAUGGAAAUAGCACAAAUAAAACAGGCAUUGCCGCUCCUGUUGACAAUGGCAUGACUGGUAUCCAGGAGUUUUCCAGAUGGCCAGAGUACAAGGCCUGGUCUGCUCUAAGUACUUCUAUGGCUUCCAUGAUCUAAAGUAAACCUCCCCACAUUAACUUCCAUCCUCUUAAAUCUCCCCACUCCAUACAGUAUCUCACAAAAGUGAGUACACCCCUCACAUUUUUGUAAAUAUUUGAUUAUAUCUUUUCAUGUGACAACACUGAAGAAAUGACACCUUACUACAAUGUAGUGAGUAUAUAGCUUGUAUAACAUUUGCUGUCCCCUCAAAAUAACAAAACACAAGGCCAUUAAUGUCUAAACCGCUGGCAUCAAAAGUGAGUACACCCCUAAGUGAAAAUGUCCAAAUUGGGCCCAAAGUGUCAAUAUUUUGUGUGGCCACCAUUAUUUUCCAGCACUCCCUUAACUCUCUGGGCACCUUCUGUUUGAGGAUGCCCCACAGAUGCUCAAUAGGGUUUGGAGGUGUGUUUGGGGUCGUUAUCAUGUUGGAAUACUGCCCUGUGGCCCAGUUUCCGAAGGGAGGGGAUCAUGCUCUGCUUCAGCAUGUCACAGUACAUGUUGGCAUUCAUUGUUCCCUCAAUGAACUGUAGCUCCCCAGUGCCGGCAGUACUCAUGCAGCCCCAGACCAUGACACUCCCACCACCAUGCUUGACUGUAGGCAAGACACACUUGUCUUUGUACUCCUCACCUGGUUGCCGCCACACACGCUUGACACCAUCUGAACCAAAUAAGUUUAUCUUGGUCUCAUCAGACCACAGGACAUGGUUCUGGUAAUCCAUGUCCUUAAUCUGCUUGUCUUCAGCAAACUGUUUGCAGGCUUUCUUGUGCAUCAUCUUUAGAAGAGGCUUCCUUCUGGGACGACAGCCAUGCAGACCAAUUUGAUGCAGUGUGCAGUGUAUGGUCUGAGUAAUGACAGGCUGGCCCCCCACCCCUUCAACCUCCACAGCAAUGCUGGCAGCACUCUUAUGUCUAUUUCCCAAAGACAACCUCUGGUUAUGACGCUGAGCAUGUGCACUCAACUUCUUUGGUCGACCAUGGCGAGGCCUGUUCUGAGUGGAACCUGUCCUGUCAAAACGCUGUAUGGUCUUGGCCACCGUGCUGCAGCUCAGUUUCAUGGUCUUGGCAAUCUUCUUAUGGCCUAGGCCAUCUUUAUGUAGAGCAAACAUUUUAAAAAAUCUGAUCCUCAGAGAGUUCUUUGCCAUGAGGUGCCAUAUUGAACUUCCAGUGACCAGUAUGAGGGAGUGUGAGACCAAUGACACCAAAUUUAACACACCUGCUCCCCAUUCACACAUGAAACCUUGUAACACAAACGACACCGGGGAGGGAAAAUGGCUAAUUGGGCCCAAUUUGGACAUUUUCACUUAGGGGUGUACUCACUUUUGAUGCCAGCGGUUUAGACAUUAAUGGCCGUGUGUUUUGUUAUUUUGAGGGGACAGCAAAUUUACACUGUUAUACAAGCUGUACACUCACUACAUUGCAGCAAGGUGUCAUUUCUUCAGUGUUGUCACAUGAAAAGAUAUGAUCAAAUAUUUACAAAAAUGUCAGGGGUGUACUCACUUUUGUGAGAUACUGUAAACUCAUACUUUCAGUCGUUCCUCAGCUAAUCAGUUGCAGGAUCACUUCAACAAGAAGCUGUCUCAAGUUCUGUGACCCCCAUCAUCCAAAACUCCAUCUGUAGGCUGCUAACCUAAUGAUCUUUAACCUUUAAGAAACUCUCAUAAACCCAUCAACAAGGGCCAUUGAACCUCUGCUGUUGCUCUUUUCAACCAAAAAGGCCGCCUAGUAUUUUUCUUCCAGCGCAAGCCAGACUCAUUUUGUGUGAAAUGUAUUCUUCUCUGUUGCCUGAAAUAACUGUGUUCAAAGCAAAAUAAACAAAAAAGAGUAACAGAGAUUAACUUUGUAUUACAUGUCACUGCACUCAUACUUAAGACCCUAUUCAGAUUUAAGUUAACCUAAGCUAUUCAGAUUAAAGUUAACCUAACACGAACUUAUGAACUCAUGAAAUAUUUGGUCUUAAAUCUAUGGAAAUCCAUAUUUUGUCAGCUUACACGCAUUAUGAAAAUGAUGUUUUACUGCUUCCCUCAUAGGAACCAUAGAUGUUAAGAGAUACAGUAAGUGGCGGUUGGCCUGUUUACAAUAUGGAGCUGAGUGCACAACCUCACAGUAACAAUGAGGUGUCCUGUUUUAUGAUGUUUUUGUAUCUGUGUACGUCUGAUUUAUGGUGCUCGGCAUAUGGCUGGGGAGUGGUGGGAACACUAAGUAUAGAUACUUCAUCUGGCCCCAGAGCUGCCAGGGAGACAGAGCCCCCACCCCGACUCCUUCUAUGGUUUCUUUAUCUAAUUUUCAGUCUCCUCAAGCCCUUCCUGUGUCCUCCAGCCCUUCCUGUGUCCUCCAGUCCUUCCUCUCUCUUCCAGCCCUUCCUGUGUCCUCCAGUCCUUCCUCUCUCUUCCAGCCUUUCCUGUCUCCUCAAGCCCUUCCUGUCUCCUCCAGUCCUUCCUGUCUCCUCCAGCCCAUCUUGUCUCCUCAAGCCCUUCCUGUCUCCUCCAUCCCUUCCUGUCUCCUCCAGUCCUUCCUAUCUCCUCCAGUCCUUCCUGUCUCCUCCAGUCCUUCCUCUCUCUUCCAAACCUUUCUGUCUCCUCCAGUCCAUUUCUUUGGAUACUAUCACUCUCGUCACCCAGUCCCUGACUCUGUCCCCAGGCGUCCUAUGCCUUAGGCUAAUCCAGUACACUCCAGUACACAACACACUCAUCCCAUUAUGCAGAACAAACGUAAAUGCAGCUGCAAUUUCAACACUAGCUCACACAAGUUGAAGAGUUCACUUCCAAGACCAGAUGAAAGAAAUGUUUCACAUUUACAUUUUGCAUGAGUAUGAAUCAUGGCGCUCAUCAAAUAUUAAAAACAUUUUAGUCAAGUGUGCCUAUAAAUAUUACUUUAUAUGCCUUGUUUAGCUUGAAUGGACCAUUCAUAUUAGCUGCAUCUUUAACCCCUGUGUAACAGAUUUCACAGGACCCCCUAUCCAGGAUGAGUUUGACUCAGAUACCGGAGCCAAGGACUCACAACAAAGAGCACCGGAAGAAUGCACUAACAAUGUGGACAACAGCAAAUAGGUCUAGAGGGCAUCAGCAUACAUUGUCUGCAAACAUCUAGAGGCCUGUAUUGACCUCAAUCUGGAUCCAUUUUUAUUGUGUGAGUGAACAUAAAUAACCCGAAAGCCUGGAGGAGGCAGCCCAUUGCUAAGUUCCUCCGGAUGACACAUUGAGUUUGUGUUGAUAUGCCCUCCACCCUCACUUUGAGUCCCUUACAGAGAGUCUACCUGGAUGUAAACCUAUCAAGCUGAAAUGACCUGCAAUGCCCCAGGAAUCACUACCUUUGUCCACACUUUCAUGGGAAUGAUGACCUAACGAAAAUCUGGUUCCAUUCCUUUCUAGUAAUAAUCUGGACUUGAGUCAGGUGUAAACCCUAUGACUGAAUAAAGCUAGCUUAGGAUAUGUGCUUUCAUUUGAUCUGUUGGAAUUAAGCCCAACUCUGACAUCUCAACUGAUGACCAAAAGACAACCAAUGACCAAAUAACAACCAAAGACAAAAAGACGACCAAUGACCAAAUAACAACCAAUGAGCAAAAGACUACCAAUGACCAAAUGACAACCAAUGACCAAAAGAUGACCAAUGACCAAAUAACAACCAAAGACAAAAAGACGACCAAUGACCAAAUAACAACCAAUGAGCAAAAGACUACCAAUGACCAAAUGACAACCAAUGACCAAAAGAUGACCAAUGACCAAAUGACAACCAAUGACCAAAAGACGACCAAUGACCAAAUGACAACCUAUCAGAUGUAGGGCUACAAAAAAAAGAUGCACAGGGAGCCCCAGGAGAAGUCCUCUUCUAAACCACUGAUUUGGAUAUUUUUUUACUGUAAAGAUGACGAACGGACAUGUGACUGGAGUGGCUUGUUUAGGAUUUCACCAGCCUAAGCAGUAAGGUCGUGAAAUAAAUAUGACACUGUUGGAAAUGCCAUUAACAUGGAAGUUGAACAGCCAACAACUAGGAACGUGACAACAUAAAAGAAUUGCAUGAAAAUACCCACCCACGCUGAGCCUAUACCUGGACUACCCAUGAGGGAUGCUGUUAAACAGUUAAGUCAUUUAGCAGACUCUCUUAUCCAGAGCAACUUGCACUGCUUAGUCAGCUACCUUACGUUAAAUCACAAUCAGCUUUGUUUGCUAUGAAUAUUUACAUAUUUUCCUAACUUUGAAAUUCUUUCAAAGUUACACGUCAAGAGAAUUCUGGAUAUCUGUAAAUGUGCUAUGAUUCUGAUGAUAGUUGUUCACUAAAUAUAGAACAGAAUACAGACAGUUCCGUUUAAACCAAGAUGACACAUUCAUCGUGUAUAUACACAAUUCGUGUUGAGCAAAUGAGAAAUGGACGUGCAGCGAUGAUAUAAAUAUGUUUACAGUCGAUGUACACAUCCACACAUCCACGUAUAUACAGUUCCAGUAAAGGCGUCUAUCUAGAUGAAGCACAGUGCAGCUGUUGCUAACAGUCGACAGUUUGGAGGAGUCUUGCUGUCGAGAGCUUAGAGCCGUUAGACUCUAUGAGGACAUGCGCCAGAUUCCUGAGGGUCAAAGCACCAAGACAGAGACUGUUCAGGCCGUAGGAUGUUUGCCAACCGCGACCAAAGUGCCGUAGCCAACCUCAGCCAAUGCACAAUAGCCAAACAUGAACAACGCAUCGUAGCUAAAUCCAAAAAUGUUAGCCCAGAAAUGUGUGAGCACUGUGAGUAUUUGAAUGCAAUAUGUGGUUGCUGUGCACACAGCCCCUGUGGGUCUUUGAAAAGCACUACAUUAAGUGCCAAUUACUAUAACUAGUACUGCAGUAGCCAUCAGAAGACAAAUGGGAAUCGCUGGGAAUGAGAGCAUCUGCUGAAUGUCAGGUUUAAUAUUUUACAUACAGAUGGAUUAUUAGUUGAUAGUUAUAUAUUAAAUAUUGUCAAAGGUUUAACUUCUAAGGUUUUUCAGUAAUGUCUGGACAUUUAUUUAAUUUUUUU
This is a long non-coding RNA of Esox lucius (northern pike), 11039 nucleotides long. The record is from Ensembl. Lineage: Eukaryota; Metazoa; Chordata; Actinopteri; Esociformes; Esocidae.